AUCAUGGAGAGUUUGAUCCUGGCUCAGGACGAACGCUGGCGGCGUGCUUAACACAUGCAAGUCGAACGGGAGGAC
This 75-nucleotide ribosomal RNA is filed under the name Megasphaera stantonii. Its description in RNAcentral is "partial 16S ribosomal RNA". It matches the Rfam family "Bacterial small subunit ribosomal RNA", at positions 1 to 75 of the family's 1533-position model. Lineage: Bacteria; Bacillati; Bacillota; Negativicutes; Veillonellales; Veillonellaceae. The record is from RNAcentral.